Molecule: small nucleolar RNA, 62 nt
Filed under: Diabrotica virgifera virgifera (western corn rootworm)
Lineage: Eukaryota; Metazoa; Arthropoda; Insecta; Coleoptera; Chrysomelidae
Source: RNAcentral
AUGAUUAUUGCUAUUACCGCCCCAGUCUGAACUACAUGACUGAUUGGUUAUUAUGACUUCCA